AGUGAACGCUGGCGGUAGGCCUAACACAUGCAAGUCGAACGGCAGCACAGUAAGAGCUUGCUCUUACGGGUGGCGAGUGGCGGACGGGUGAGGAACACAUCGGAAUCUACUUUUUCGUGGGGGAUAACGUAGGGAAACUUACGCUAAUACCGCAUACGACCUACGGGUGAAAGCAGGGGAUCUUCGGACCUUGCGCGAUUGAAUGAGCCGAUGUCGGAUUAGCUAGUUGGCGGGGUAAAGGCCCACCAAGGCGACGAUCCGUAGCUGGUCUGAGAGGAUGAUCGGCCACAUGGGACCGGAGACACGGUCCAGACCCCUACGGGAGGCAGCAGUGGGGAAUAUUGGACAAUGGGCGCAAGCCUGAUCCAGCCAUACCGCGUGGGUGAAGAAGGCCUUCGGGUUGUAAAGCCCUUUUGUUGGGAAAGAAAAGCAGAGGUUAAUACCCCGCUGUUCUGACGGUACCCAAAGAAUAAGCACCGGCUAACUUCGUG
Molecule: ribosomal RNA, 491 nt
Filed under: uncultured bacterium
Lineage: Bacteria
Description: partial 16S ribosomal RNA
Rfam family: Bacterial small subunit ribosomal RNA
Source: RNAcentral